RNAcentral lists this microRNA precursor (154 nucleotides) under Amborella trichopoda. RNAcentral describes it as "MIR8565 microRNA precursor family". It matches the Rfam family "MIR8565 microRNA precursor family". Lineage: Eukaryota; Viridiplantae; Streptophyta; Magnoliopsida; Amborellales; Amborellaceae. The record is from Rfam by way of RNAcentral.
CCCACACCCAUGUAUGUAGGACUCAAAAGGAUCAUCAUUAAAUUUGGCAUAGAUCUCUAGAAAAGUUAUCACGUAGGUGUGAGACUUGACUUUUCUAGAUAUCUGUGUCAAAUUUAAUAGUGAUCAUUUAGGGUCCUACAUACAUGGGUGUGGG